This 415-nucleotide unclassified non-coding RNA is filed under the name Hevea brasiliensis (rubber tree). Lineage: Eukaryota; Viridiplantae; Streptophyta; Magnoliopsida; Malpighiales; Euphorbiaceae. The record is from RNAcentral.
GCCAUCUACAGAAAGAUCAACAGAGGACAUGAGCUGCAUAUACAGCACUCUUUACCACAACUGAAAGUCCUCCCUUCAGUCAAUAUCAAAUAAUCACAGUUCUAAUAUAGAAAAGGAAAGAAAGAUAUUAUAAAGUACAUCGAUUUGAAGACUCCUAUCUCGCGAAUUUUACAAAACUCUAGCAAAAAAGGAUGAAUGUUGGGUGCAUACAGCAUGAAGAUCGAUCACCUGACCACCUGUCCACAUAGCUGAAAUAGCCGUAAGCCCAGUGAUUCUUUGCAACACCGCCACUCAGGCAUGCAGGAGAAGAUAUGACACAGUUUACCUUUACAGGAACUCUACACAUUUCUACUAUUGCUGCUGGUUCUGUGGAGGAGCAUUGGGCGGUGGAGGCAUACCAGGACGAGGAGGUCCA